CUACGGGGUGCACCAGUGAGGAAUAUUGCACAAUGGGGGGAACCCUGAUGCAGCAACGCCGCGUGGAGGAUGACGCAUUUCGGUGUGUAAACUCCUUUUAUAUGUCAAGAAAAUGACGGUAGCAUAUGAAUAAGCACCGGCUAACUCCGUGCCAGCAGCCGCGGUAAUACGGAGGGUGCAAGCGUUACUCGGAAUCACUGGGCGUAAAGGACGCGUAGGCGGGUUGGAAAGUCAGGUGUGAAAUCCUACAGCUUAACUGUAGAACUGCACUUGAAACUUCUAAUCUAGAGUAUGGGAGGGGAGAUGGAAUUAGUGGUGUAGGGGUAAUAUCCGUAGAUAUCACUAGGAAUACCUAAAGCGAAGGCGAUCUCCUGGAACAUUACUGACGCUAAGGCGUGAAAGCGUGGGGAGCAAACAGGAUUAGAUACCCCAGUAGUC
Molecule: ribosomal RNA, 438 nt
Filed under: uncultured bacterium
Lineage: Bacteria
Description: partial 16S ribosomal RNA
Rfam family: Bacterial small subunit ribosomal RNA
Source: RNAcentral